Molecule: ribosomal RNA, 433 nt
Filed under: uncultured bacterium
Lineage: Bacteria
Description: partial 16S ribosomal RNA
Rfam family: Bacterial small subunit ribosomal RNA
Source: RNAcentral
AACGAACGCUGGCGGCAUGCCUAACACAUGCAAGUCGAACGAGACCUUCGGGUCUAGUGGCGCACGGGUGCGUAACGCGUGGGAAUCUACCCUCAGGUUCGGAAUAACUCAGAGAAAUUUGAGCUAAUACCGGAUGAUGACGUAAGUCCAAAGAUUUAUCGCCUGAGGAUGAGCCCGCUUAGGAUUAGGUAGUUGGUGAGGUAAAGGCUCACCAAGCCGACGAUCCUUAGCUGGUCUGAGAGGAUGAUCAGCCACACUGGGACUGAGACACGGCCCAGACUCCUACGGGAGGCAGCAGUGGGGAAUAUUGGACAAUGGGCGAAAGCCUGAUCCAGCAAUGCCGCGUGAGUGAUGAAGGCCUUAGGGUUGUAAAGCUCUUUUACCCGGGAUGAUAAUGACAGUACCGGGAGAAUAAGCCCCGGCUAACUCCGUG